This 504-nucleotide ribosomal RNA is filed under the name uncultured bacterium. Its description in RNAcentral is "partial 16S ribosomal RNA". The stretch from base 13 to 373 matches the Rfam family "Bacterial small subunit ribosomal RNA", at positions 40 to 399 of the family's 1533-position model. The record is from RNAcentral.
GACGAACGCUGGCGGCGUGCUUAACACAUGCAAGUCGAACGGAAAGGCCCUGCUUUUGUGGGGUGCUCGAGUGGCGAACGGGUGAGUAACACGUGAGUAACCUGCCCUUGACUUUGGGAUAACUUCAGGAAACUGGGGCUAAUACCGGAUAGGAGCUCCUGCUGCAUGGUGGGGGUUGGAAAGUUUCGGCGGUUGGGGAUGGACUCGCGGCUUAUCAGCUUGUUGGUGGGGUAGUGGCUUACCAAGGCUUUGACGGGUAGCCGGCCUGAGAGGGUGACCGGCCACAGUGGUCCGCAGCGACACCGCGUCGUAGGACGGGCGGCGGGAGGGGGCAGAAUGGCAGAGGGGGAGGACGCCCUAUGCCGCCACGGCGUGUGCGAGACGGACGGCGGGGGGGUAUAAGGCUCUCGCGCGGGAGAAGAAGCGUGGGUGGAAAGAAAGGAAAAAGGACAACCGGCUCACUGCGGGCCCGGAGCCAAUGUAAUAGAACGGGCAAUUCUGACC